UUCCAUGAUGAUAUCUCACUUUACUUUUUUUCUGGUACCUCUUAUGUCAGAAGCCGUGCCUCUUCCGGUCCGGCUUCAAUGAUCUUAAUGGACUUCUGAUU
This is a small nucleolar RNA of Trichophyton rubrum CBS 118892, 101 nucleotides long. It matches the Rfam family "A. fumigatus snoRNA Afu_264". The record is from Rfam. NCBI's taxonomy places the organism in Eukaryota, Fungi, Ascomycota, Eurotiomycetes, Onygenales, Arthrodermataceae.